Molecule: ribosomal RNA, 472 nt
Filed under: uncultured organism
Description: partial 16S ribosomal RNA
Rfam family: Bacterial small subunit ribosomal RNA
Source: RNAcentral
ACACUCCUGCGGGAGGCAGCAGUGGGGAAUAUCGCACAAUGGGCGCAAGCCUGAUGCAGCCAUGCCGCGUGUAUGAAGAAGGCCUUCGGGUUGUAAAGUACUUUCAGCGGGGAGGAAGGCGAUAAGGUUAAUAACCUUGUCGAUUGACGUUACCCGCAGAAGAAGCACCGGCUAACUCCGUGCCAGCAGCCGCGGUAAUACGGAGGGUGCAAGCGUUAAUCGGAAUUACUGGGCGUAAAGCGCACGCAGGCGGUCUGUCAAGUCGGAUGUGAAAUCCCCGGGCUCAACCUGGGAACUGCAUUCGAAACUGGCAGGCUAGAGUCUGGUAGAGGGGGGUAGAAUUCCAGGUGUAGCGGUGAAAUGCGUAGAGAUCUGGAGGAAUACCGGUGGCGAAGGCGGCCCCCUGGACAAAGACUGACGCUCAGGUGCGAAAGCGUGGGGAGCAAACAGGAUUAGAUACCCCGGUAGUCCC